This 330-nucleotide ribosomal RNA is filed under the name uncultured bacterium. Its description in RNAcentral is "bacterial SSU rRNA". It matches the Rfam family "Bacterial small subunit ribosomal RNA", at positions 568 to 898 of the family's 1533-position model. The record is from RNAcentral.
UGCGCAGGCGGUUUUGUAAGUCAGAUGUGAAAUCCCCGGGCUCAACCUGGGAAUGGCAUUUGAGACUGCAAGGCUAGAGUGUGUCAGAGGGGGGUAGAAUUCCACGUGUAGCAGUGAAAUGCGUAGAGAUGUGGAGGAACACCGAUGGCGAAGGCAGCCCCCUGGGAUAACACUGACGCUCAUGCACGAAAGCGUGGGGAGCAAACAGGAUUAGAUACCCUGGUAGUCCACGCCCUAAACGAUGUCGACUAGUUGUCGGGUCUUAAUUGACUUGGUAACGCAGCUAACGCGUGAAGUCGACCGCCUGGGGAGUACGGUCGCAAGAUUAAA